Molecule: ribosomal RNA, 253 nt
Filed under: uncultured bacterium
Lineage: Bacteria
Description: partial 16S ribosomal RNA
Rfam family: Bacterial small subunit ribosomal RNA
Source: RNAcentral
UACGUAGGGCGCAAGCGUUGUCCGGAAUUAUUGGGCGUAAAGAGCUCGUAGGCGGCCUGUUGCGUCCGCUGUGAAAUCCCGGGGCUUAACCCCGGGCUUGCAGUGGAUACGGGCAGGCUGGAGGCAGGCAGGGGAGACUGGAAUUCCUGGUGUAGCGGUGGAAUGCGCAGAUAUCAGGAGGAACACCGGUGGCGAAGGCGGGUCUCUGGGCCAUUACUGACGCUGAGGAGCGAAAGCGUGGGGAGCGAACAGG